Molecule: ribosomal RNA, 301 nt
Filed under: uncultured bacterium
Lineage: Bacteria
Description: partial 16S ribosomal RNA
Rfam family: Bacterial small subunit ribosomal RNA
Source: RNAcentral
CAGUAGCCGCGGUAAUACGAGGGGUGCAAGCGUUACUCGGAUUGAUUGGGUGUAAAGGGUGUGCAGACGGCUUAUUAAGUCACUUGUUAAAUUCUUCGGCCUAACUGAAGGUCUGCAAGUGAUACUGAUGAGCUAGAGGGUGGAAGAGAGAAGUGGAAUUCUCGGAGUAGCGGUAAAAUGCGUAGAUCUCGAGAGGAACACCAAUGGCGAAGGCAGCUUCUUGGUCCAUUCCUGACGUUCAUACACGAAAGCGUGGGGAGCAAACAGGAUUAGAUACCCCCGUAGUCCCUGUCUCUUAUAC